RNAcentral lists this ribosomal RNA (805 nucleotides) under uncultured microorganism. RNAcentral describes it as "bacterial SSU rRNA". It matches the Rfam family "Bacterial small subunit ribosomal RNA", at positions 56 to 843 of the family's 1533-position model. The record is from RNAcentral.
UGCAAGUCGAGCGAGAACCUGUCCUUCGGGACAGGGGACAGCGGCGAACGGGUGAGUAACACGUGGGUAAUCAACCCCUGGCUCCGGGAUAGCCCGAGGAAACUCGGAUUAAUACCGGAUGGCCCAACUGCGUCCUUCGGGGCGGUUGGAAAAGGUAGCUUCGGCCUCCGGCCAGGGACGAGCCCGCGGCGGAUUAGCUUGUUGGUGGGGUAAUGGCCUACCAAGGCGACGAUCCGUAGCUGGUCUGAGAGGACGAUCAGCCACACUGGGACUGAGACACGGCCCAGACUCCUACGGGAGGCAGCAGUGGGGAAUCUUGCACAAUGGGCGGAAGCCUGAUGCAGCGACGCCGCGUGAGGGAAGAAGGCUUUCGGGUUGUAAACCUCUUUCAGGAGGGACGAAGCUCCUCGGGUUAAUAGCCCAGAGGGUGACGGUACCUCCAGAAGAAGCCCCGGCUAACUACGUGCCAGCAGCCGCGGUAAUACGUAGGGGGCAAGCGUUGUCCGGAUUUAUUGGGCGUAAAGAGCGUGUAGGCGGCCAGAUAGGUCCGUUGUGAAAACUCGAGGCUCAACCUCGAGACGCCGAUGGAAACCAUUUGGCUAGAGUCCGGAAGAGGAGAGUGGAAUUCCUGGUGUAGCGGUGAAAUGCGCAGAUAUCAGGAAGAACACCCGUGGCUAAGGCGGCUCUCUAGUACGGUACUGACGCUGAGACGCGAAAGCGUGGGGAGCGAACAGGAUUAGAUACCCUGGUAGUCCACGCCGUAAACGAUGGGUGCUAGGUGUGGGGGGGGUGUCGACUCCCUCCG